This 301-nucleotide ribosomal RNA is filed under the name uncultured bacterium. RNAcentral describes it as "partial 16S ribosomal RNA". It matches the Rfam family "Bacterial small subunit ribosomal RNA", at positions 509 to 807 of the family's 1533-position model. The record is from RNAcentral.
CAGUCGCCACGGUAAUAUGUAGGGUGCGAGCGUUAAUCGGAAUUACUGGGCGUAAAGCGUGCGCAGGCGGUUGUGUAAGACAGGUGUGAAAUCCCCGGGCUUAACCUGGGAACUGCGCUUGUGACUGCACAGCUAGAGUAUGGCAGAGGGGGGUGGAAUUCCACGUGUAGCAGUGAAAUGCGUAGAGAUGUGGAGGAACACCGAUGGCGAAGGCAGCCCCCUGGGCCAAUACGGACGCUCAUGCACGAAAGCGUGGGGAGCAAACAGGAUUAGAUACCCCCGUAGUCCCUGUCUCUUAUAC